CGUAGCAAUACGUCAGCGGCAGACGGGUGAGUAACGCGUGGGAACAUACCUUUUGGUUCGGAACAACACAGGGAAACUUGUGCUAAUACCGGAUAAGCCCUUACGGGGAAAGAUUUAUCGCCGAAAGAUUGGCCCGCGUCUGAUUAGCUAGUUGGUGAGGUAACGGCUCACCAAGGCGACGAUCAGUAGCUGGUCUGAGAGGAUGAUCAGCCACAUUGGGACUGAGACACGGCCCAAACUCCUACGGGAGGCAGCAGUGGGGAAUAUUGGACAAUGGGCGAAAGCCUGAUCCAGCCAUGCCGCGUGAGUGAUGAAGGCCCUAGGGUUGUAAAGCUCUUUUGUGCGGGAAGAUAAUGACGGUACCGCAAGAAUAAGCCCCGGCUAACUUCGUGCCAGCAGCCGCGGUAAUACGAAGGGGGCUAGCGUUGCUCGGAAUCACUGGGCGUAAAGGGUGCGUAGGCGGGUCUUUAAGUCAGGGGUGAAAUCCUGGAGCUCAACUCCAGAACUGCCUUUGAUACUGAGGAUCUUGAGUUCGGGAGAGGUGAGUGGAACUGCGAGUGUAGAGGUGAAAUUCGUAGAUAUUCGCAAGAACACCAGUGGCGAAGGCGGCUCACUGGCCCGAUACUGACGCUGAGGCACGAAAGCGUGGGGAGCAAACAGGAUUAGAUACCCCGGUAGUCCACGCCGUAAACGAUGAAUGCCAGCCGUUAGUGGGUUUACUCACUAGUGGCGCAGCUAACGCUUUAAGCAUUCCGCCUGGGGAGUACGGUCGCAAGAUUAAAACUCAAAGGAAUUGAC
This 798-nucleotide ribosomal RNA is filed under the name uncultured Bradyrhizobium sp. Its description in RNAcentral is "bacterial SSU rRNA". It matches the Rfam family "Bacterial small subunit ribosomal RNA", at positions 75 to 914 of the family's 1533-position model. The record is from RNAcentral. Lineage: Bacteria; Pseudomonadati; Pseudomonadota; Alphaproteobacteria; Hyphomicrobiales; Nitrobacteraceae.